RNAcentral lists this ribosomal RNA (550 nucleotides) under uncultured bacterium. Its description in RNAcentral is "bacterial SSU rRNA". It matches the Rfam family "Bacterial small subunit ribosomal RNA", at positions 355 to 896 of the family's 1533-position model. The record is from RNAcentral.
UAGGGAAUCUUCGGCAAUGGACGGAAGUCUGACCGAGCAACGCCGCGUGAGUGAAGAAGGUUUUCGGAUCGUAAAGCUCUGUUGUAAGAGAAGAACGAGUGUGAGAGUGGAAAGUUCACACUGUGACGGUAUCUUACCAGAAAGGGACGGCUAACUACGUGCCAGCAGCCACGGUAAUACGUAGGUCCCGAGCGUUGUCCGGAUUUAUUGGGCGUAAAGCGAGCGCAGGCGGUUAGAUAAGUCUGAAGUUAAAGGCUGUGGCUUAACCAUAGUAGGCUUUGGAAACUGUUUAACUUGAGUGCAAGAGGGGAGAGUGGAAUUCCAUGUGUAGCGGUGAAAUGCGUAGAUAUAUGGAGGAACACCGGUGGCGAAAGCGGCUCUCUGGCUUGUAACUGACGCUGAGGCUCGAAAGCGUGGGGAGCAAACAGGAUUAGAUACCCUGGUAGUCCACGCUGUAAACGAUGAGUGCUAGGUGUUAGACCCUUUCCGGGGUUUAGUGCCGUAGCUAACGCAUUAAGCACUCCGCCUGGGGAGUACGACCGCAAGGUUG